This 253-nucleotide ribosomal RNA is filed under the name uncultured bacterium. Its description in RNAcentral is "partial 16S ribosomal RNA". It matches the Rfam family "Bacterial small subunit ribosomal RNA", at positions 524 to 776 of the family's 1533-position model. The record is from RNAcentral.
UACGAAGGGGGCUAGCGUUGCUCGGAAUCACUGGGCGUAAAGCGCACGUAGGCGGCUUUCUAAGUCAGGGGUGAAAUCCUGGAGCUCAACUCCAGAACUGCCUUUGAUACUGGAGAGCUUGAGUCCGGGAGAGGUGAGUGGAACUGCGAGUGUAGAGGUGAAAUUCGUAGAUAUUCGCAAGAACACCAGUGGCGAAGGCGGCUCACUGGCCCGGUACUGACGCUGAGACGCGAAAGCGUGGGGAGCAAACAGG